RNAcentral lists this ribosomal RNA (585 nucleotides) under uncultured bacterium. RNAcentral describes it as "partial 16S ribosomal RNA". It matches the Rfam family "Bacterial small subunit ribosomal RNA", at positions 355 to 937 of the family's 1533-position model. The record is from RNAcentral.
UGGGGAAUUUUGGACAAUGGGCGAAAGCCUGAUCCAGCAAUGCCGCGUGUGUGAAGAAGGCCUUCGGGUUGUAAAGCACUUUUGUCCGGAAAGAAAUCCUCUGGGUUAAUACCUCGGGGGGAUGACGGUACCGGAAGAAUAAGCACCGGCUAACUACGUGCCAGCAGCCGCGGUAAUACGUAGGGUGCAAGCGUUAAUCGGAAUUACUGGGCGUAAAGCGUGCGCAGGCGGUUUUGUAAGACGGAUGUGAAAUCCCCGGGCUUAACCUGGGAACUGCAUUCGUGACUGCAAGGCUAGAGUAUGGCAGAGGGGGGUAGAAUUCCACGUGUAGCAGUGAAAUGCGUAGAGAUGUGGAGGAAUACCGAUGGCGAAGGCAGCCCCCUGGGCCAAUACUGACGCUCAUGCACGAAAGCGUGGGGAGCAAACAGGAUUAGAUACCCUGGUAGUCCACGCCCUAAAACGAUGUCAACUAGUUGUUGGGGAUUCAUUUCCUUAGUAACGUAGCUAACGCGUGAAGUUGACCGCCUGGGGAGUACGGUCGCAAGAUUAAAACUCAAAUGAAUUGACGGGGUCAUAGCUGUUUCC